RNAcentral lists this long non-coding RNA (1973 nucleotides) under Marmota monax (woodchuck). Lineage: Eukaryota; Metazoa; Chordata; Mammalia; Rodentia; Sciuridae. The record is from RNAcentral.
CCGCCACCCGCAGCCGUGCGGCUGCCCGCCCGCCCGCUCCAAGCUUCCCGGCCCCGCGCCCGCUCGCCGCAGCCAAGGGGAAACCGAGACGGAAGGGAAAAAGUUGCAGUUGGGAUUGCGAGGGUCGGCUUUGGGGAGGGAGAGUUGGCAAGCUGGCUGCGCGACACGAAAGGCGCUCUCCUCUCCACUUUUUGGCCCUCGUGCUGCCCGGUUUUGCUGCAAUCUCGACAGCCGGGAGGAAGUGAAAUGUACGUGGCCGAGGUGACAGGGGAGCGCACCCGAGCCUGGGUGGGGGGCACAGGCUCGCGGAUGGUGACUGGGGGGCCAGGAACGCACAGGAACCCCAGAGAGCCACCCGGACCCAGGGACCGGGGCUGCAGACGCGCAGACCUAGAUGUGAAUGACACUCACUUCCGUAAUCAAGAGUCCGGGAAGCUGGGCUUGGCUGGGAGGGGACUGCGGGGCAUGGCACGCUUGAUGCCCCUAUGCCCACUGCGCCUUCUUGGCAAAGGGUUUUACGUUCGGCCUUGGGCAAGCAGGGAGCAGAGAUGGACAGAACAAGCACUGAAAGGGCUGCGCUGGAGAGCUGAGGUGGCCCGGGCAAGACGUGCCUGUAGAGAAACGGCAGGGAAAUUGAGAUGCAAGGGGCAUUUUUUGGCAAGCGCCACGCCAGCACCGUCAGAGACCGGCUUCUCGGGCUCAGCUCUGGGGUGCGCUGAGCUGGCUGCCCGGUGAGGGGGCGGGCGGGCUGCUUUCUCCGGAUUCGGGGGGCGCAGAACCUCCCACCUUCCCUCCCACCCAAGCACUCCUUCCUGGUAGGGGCGCAAAACAGGUGCAGCCUUCGGUGCGAGUUCAGCUCUUGUCGGGGAGAGGGAGUCCCCGCAUUUGGCCUUGACAGGAAUUUUUUUUAAUAAAAUAAAUGUAAAGAUGCCAAGUAUGAGCGGUUUGCUGAGAAAACCCGAGCAUCCGCUGUAGGAAAGGAGAAGAAAGGGUUAGGGGAGUCCGAGUAGGCAGACACUACAGCAUUCACAGGAGAAGAAAGCAGGGCUCUCCUCCCCGAGCUUGGAUGAGGGCAGGCGAGGAAGCAAAAUACAGUGAAUUCAACUGCAUCCAGUAUCUGAAAGGCUUCUCCCCCGCCCCCCUGUGGAUUCCGAUGCAGGUCAUGCAACUUGCAGGCAAAAUGGGGGAAGGGGUAUGCUGGUGUCUCAGCCUGCCCCAGGAGCAACCACUGACAGACCUGAUGUCUAUGAGCGGCACUGUCGCUGGGAGAAAACUUGUGACAAAAAAAAAAAAAAGAAGGAAAAAAGAAAGAAAAGAACAUGCCUAUAAAAGGCAGUUUCCCCAACUUCCCGUCAUAUUCCGCCUUCCCUUGGCCUCAGUGAGACUUUUAGGCCCUGUCACCAUUAUGGCCUUGUCCCCAGAAUGGCAUUUUGCCCUCCCACCAGCAGGAGGGGACAGAGUGGAGACAGCCUUAGACUCUCAAACAGCUCCUACUGGCCCGAGGCCAGUCCCUGGUGUCCUUGUCCACUGGGAAUCUCCCUGCCACUUCAAGUACUAUUCUGUGACUGGUUUUUGAAUGUCUGUUUUAGACACAGGGAAACUGAGGUGUAGUCAAAAACACUCAAGCUUGGCCUCUCUUGGGAAGUGGCAGGUGGCAGCAGAGAAACAUGGAACUUUCCUCAAACAACACAGGGGAGAUUGAACAACCACCGCAUGCCAAGAGGAUUCAAAACAGCAUUGGUUCCCCAACCUGGAGCAAAAAUGGUUGUGUCUAAAAGAUGCUCAGUACCACCACCACCCUUUCUUUAAGAAAGAAUAUAUGAUUUUAACUUCUCUGACAAAGAAGGAUAGGCAUUCAUAAGUCAGAUUAAAAAUAAAAAUAAAAAUUUUAGGAACCCUUUUGGAGAUGGUCUUUCAUCUUUGAUAGUGAAAUGGGGUUCUAGUGGAUGCUAUGGUUAUGCUUUGGGCCUACU